Molecule: microRNA precursor, 135 nt
Filed under: Arabidopsis lyrata
Lineage: Eukaryota; Viridiplantae; Streptophyta; Magnoliopsida; Brassicales; Brassicaceae
Description: miR3443 stem-loop (aly-MIR3443)
Source: miRBase by way of RNAcentral
AAUUUGGCUAAUCAGCAAAACUAAAUUCUAAUCCCGCCAUGCACCGAAAAAAUUCUAGACUGAAAUAAUACAGUCUGUGGUUUUCCGGUGCCUUGUGAGAUUAGAGUUUUAUCUUGUGAAUUUGCUUAAGGAGUU